GACGAACGCUGGCGGCGUGCUUAACACAUGCAAGUCGAACGAAGAGCGAUGGAAGCUUGCUUCUAUCAAUUUUAGUGGCGAACGGGUGAGUAACGCGUAAUCAACCUGCCCUUCAGAGGGGGACAACAGUUGGAAACGACUGCUAAUACCGCAUACGAUCUGACCUCGGCAUCGAGGAUGGAUGAAAGGUGGCCUCUAUUUAUAAGCUAUCACUGAAGGAGGGGAUUGCGUCUGAUUAGCUAGUUGGAGGGGUAACGGCCCACCAAGGCGAUGAUCAGUAGCCGGUCUGAGAGGAUGAACGGCCACAUUGGGACUGAGACACGGCCCAGACUCCUACGGGAGGCAGCAGUGGGGAAUCUUCCGCAAUGGACGAAAGUCUGACGGAGCAACGCCGCGUGAGUGAUGACGGCCUUCGGGUUGUAAAGCUCUGUUAAUCGGGACGAAAGGCCUUCUUGCGAAUAGUUAGAAGG
This 470-nucleotide ribosomal RNA is filed under the name Veillonella dispar. RNAcentral describes it as "bacterial SSU rRNA". It matches the Rfam family "Bacterial small subunit ribosomal RNA", at positions 28 to 475 of the family's 1533-position model. The record is from RNAcentral. Lineage: Bacteria; Bacillati; Bacillota; Negativicutes; Veillonellales; Veillonellaceae.